CCAGAGAUAAUAUUUCAAUAAACCAAAACCAGUCGUUCACAUCCUUUUACAAUACCUCGAUCGAUACAAUCCUACCUUAUUAAGAUACUAAUCACAAUGCUAAAGUUUUCAUGAUAAAUCCCUAAGUUCCCUCGUUCGAUUCCCGACCUCCAACUCCUGUAAGGAAAACAAAGCUAAAAGGGCUGAGCUAAUGCUCAGUGAGAUUUGCCGAGCAAGCAACAUUUAAUAAAUAGUUAAAUCGGUACAAUUAAGCAAUUGAGGAAGCACUUCACUAAACAAUCACUUUUAAAAGGAUAUGGUGCUCGCAUUAGAACCACUUUAAUAUCAUUAAGCAUUCAUUUCAGCGUCAAGAGACACUCAUUUCACGGUCAUUGUACAUUUAUUUCAAUAUCAUUGCAUUCACUCUGCCAAUUCACCUCCUUAUGUCCUCCAAAACAGUAAACAAUCCACUACAUUCAAUAAUCAGUUCAAUAAUCUCCCAACCUCAUGGUAAUAUUCGAGUAUACUGAAACCUUUACCCAAAGCUACCGUCCCACCCAACCAAGCCCUUUGCUGGCUCGAGUAGUCCGUUGAACAGAGGGUUUUGGGGCCCAGUUCAACCGAUGCAGCGAGGCACACAUAUGGUUUACAUUCAUGCACACUUACAGUCACAUUCAGUCAAUUAUCGACCUUCAAACUCAACUAAGUUGAGUGCGAUAAAGUACACCCUCGACCUAGAAGGCAAGGGACAAUUGAGAUACACUUUACAAGGAAUCAUUUAGUAAUAAUUCAUGAUAAAUACAUUUGUCACAUAAUUUCACUUAGAUGCACAUAAACUGUUAAACACAUAAAUUUGAAAAACACUCACCAAUUAUCCAAGUAAUUUACUCUCGAGCCUCGAGUCUGUUUCCUGGCUCGCAGCUACUUCCUGUGGUAAAUAUAUAAUUCCAUUGUAACUUUACAAUUUGUAGAUGUUCACCUAUUAGUUAAAUUAUUCAAAUUAGGUUUGACUUUCAAAUAUAAAAUAUAACAUAUUCAAUAUUUAUUCUAUUUUAUUGUUUAAGCUAUUAAAAUCAAGUUUGACCUUAAAAUACAAAAUAUAAUAUAUUCACUAUUUAUUCUACAUUUUAUUUUGAAACCUAUUGCCUUUAUCAUUGUCACCUUAUACUUGAACUUAUUAAAUUCACGUCUUGGUUUAGAACAAGAUAUAACAUAUUUAAUUUCUAUUUCAUAUUUUUACCUCAAACUUAUCAAUUUUGUCAAUUUAACUGAAGAAGUAAACAUAUAUUUCAAGUUUAAAGACUUUUAAAAUAUUUAGAUCAAGAUUUAACCAUUUCUAUCCACUAUUCUAAGGUUAAGGCAAGUAGCCUUUACAUGCAUUGUUUGUAACCAACUUAGAUUCUAAGCUGCCUAUAGUUUAAAGUUUACGUAAAUUUGCCAAUCUUCUAGCUUUCUCUACCUGCUGUCAACACAUGCUUUGCUAAGGUUCAUCUAUGCCCAUAGUUCAAGCUCAUAAUUAAACUCAAAUCAGCCCCUAACACUAUUCGGAUGAGUUCUUAGUUGUUACCGCAACAUGUUAACUUUACUCCAGCCAAAUGACAGUAGAUAUAACAAAUAUUUUCCUUAGAGUUUGUGGCUGUUUUGCCCUCCAUUUGUAUUUUACAUGAAAAUCUGUAAUUCAUGAUAUUUAGUGUAAUCAUGUUAAAGUCCGGAUCUGCUAUAAAUCAAUUUGCAAACUCGCACCUCCCACAUCAGAAACCGAAUGAUAACAUAUCAGCUAUAAACAUUCCAAAAGCAAAACUAUCCUUCUCUGAGUUCUUCAUUUCCUCACUUCCUACUUAUCAAACAAAUGGUAACUUUCGGCCACAGUAUAUCUUAACAGCAACGUAAAGUGUACAGCCAAGGGAACUGAAACCCAUAGCUGAAUCAAGUCUCCUUCUCGGCCAACUUGGAAAAGAUUCGCGCAGGAACUAGUUAUACAACAUAAAGCUCUUCAAAGUUUCUUUAGUUAUAUACCAAUCUUCCAUGCAGGUUAAAGCUGAGAUACUAUGUAACGAAUCAAGUUUCAGGGUAAAAUUUUGGAGCCAAAAUCGAUAUGGGAACCUGAUAAUGUUCUUUCUUUUCCCUCGGCUGAAACUGAAAGAAUUCCAGCAGCUAACGCAAUUCAUUUCCAGCUUCCUCUUUCUGGUUUCCCAGUUUUUCCUUUCAACUUUUAGUCGGUCUCUUAGUAACGUUAUUCUUCAGCUAAAACUCACUUCCUAUCUGGAAUUUAACAUGCAGAGAACAACUAACAUACCACAAUUGUUUUAAACUGGAAUAUAAAGUUUUCAACCAAAGAUUUGAGGUUAAUAUUAAACAAAGCUUUGUUUCCCUCUCUCGGCCAUAUUAGAAAGGCUUUAGCAGCCAACAGCUUUUAAAACAAGGAAAUUCUCCAAUAAUCUUUUCAUUUUAUACCCAAUCACACAUGCAUGUUCAGACCAAACUAUUAUGCAAUAUAUACAGCUUAACAUAGAAGUUCAUGGCCGAUCAUUCAUGAGGACAGCUAGAAACCUCUUCAUUUCCCUCUCGGAUAUGAAGCUGAAAAAAUUCCAGCAGGUUUCUCCCUACGGUCUCCACCCAAAUUUCCACUUUUCCCCAAGUUUCUUCAACUAAACCCCUUAUGAUACCUGAGAUAACCAUGUUGCAUGCCUUUCUUACAUUAGUUUCCAUUUUACAAUGAUAACAGGCUGUUACUCAAGUGAUUUACCCCCGGUUCCUACAACUUCAGUCGAGCAGUGAUUUUAAUCCUAAACAAGAACAUUUCCUCAAACAAAACUUAUUUUCCUUGCUAAAAGCUAACAUGCAGCUUGUAUAUAUUCUCAUUUGUACUAACUAAGCAGAAAAUUAUGGUAGAUUCUUACCUCUUUUCCCUUAGAAUUCAGCAAUUGUUGACUGCUCCUGUUUCUUUUAGCUUCGGUUCCUAAAAUUGCAGCAGCUUUCACUCUUCCUCUCGGUUGAAGCUAAUCAAUGAUGAAACUAACAAAGUUUCUCUUCCUAUCCUUCACUUUAACUCUCAGUUUUGGUCGGUUAAAGAAUGCAGAAAUGGGAAAGCUAUUCGGUUGCUCUGUUUUCUCUCUCGGUUGUUGCUGCCUAAGGAAAAAAAAUGCAGAGUUCUCUCUCUCACUCUCUCGGUUGGUACUCCAAAUAAGCUGAUCACUCACUCC
This 3182-nucleotide long non-coding RNA is filed under the name Coffea arabica (coffee). Its description in RNAcentral is "long non-coding RNA (CARA_LNC007335)". Lineage: Eukaryota; Viridiplantae; Streptophyta; Magnoliopsida; Gentianales; Rubiaceae. The record is from RNAcentral.